CGGGUGCUGUGGCGCGUGCCUGUAAUCCAAGUUACCGGGAGGUUGAGACUGGUGGAUCGUUUGAGCUCAGGAUCUCUGAGCUUCAGUGUACUAUGUCGAUCGGGUUGUCCCAAUAAGUUCGGUAUCGAUAUGGUGCUCCUGGGGAGGCCGGACCACCAGGUCGUCGAAGGAGGGUGCACCGGCCCAGGUCGGAAACGGAGCAGGCCAAAGCCCCCGUGCGCUCAGUAGUGGGAUCGCGCCUGUGAAUAGAGGCUGUAGUGAAGCCUGAGUAAUACAGCGGGACCCAGUCUUUU
This 293-nucleotide signal recognition particle RNA is filed under the name Neogobius melanostomus (round goby). RNAcentral's name for it is "Metazoan signal recognition particle RNA (ENSNMLG00000003714.1)". It matches the Rfam family "Metazoan signal recognition particle RNA". From Rfam's summary of the family: The signal recognition particle (SRP) is a universally conserved ribonucleoprotein. It is involved in the co-translational targeting of proteins to membranes. The record is from Rfam by way of RNAcentral. Lineage: Eukaryota; Metazoa; Chordata; Actinopteri; Gobiiformes; Gobiidae.